Molecule: ribosomal RNA, 402 nt
Filed under: uncultured bacterium
Lineage: Bacteria
Description: bacterial SSU rRNA
Rfam family: Bacterial small subunit ribosomal RNA
Source: RNAcentral
UGGGGAAUAUUGCACAAUGGGCGAAAGCCUGAUGCAGCAACGCCGCGUGAGUGAUGAAGGCCUUCGGGUUGUAAAGCUCUGUCUUCUGGGACGAUAAUGACGGUACCAGAGGAGGAAGCCACGGCUAACUACGUGCCAGCAGCCGCGGUAAUACGUAGGUGGCAAGCGUUGUCCGGAUUUACUGGGCGUAAAGGAUGCGUAGGCGGAUACUUAAGUCAGAUGUGAAAAUCCCGGGCUUAACUUGGGAACUGCAUUUGAAACUGGGUAUCUAGAGUGCGGGAGAGGAAAGUGGAAUUCCUAGUGUAGCGGGGAAAUGCGUAGAGAUUAGGAAGAACACCAGUGGCGAAGGCGACUUUCUGGACCGUAACUGACGCUGAGGCAUGAAAGCGUGGGGAGCAAACA